UUAUUGUUUUGAAGACUUCUGUUUAAACCUGUAUCAGUUACAAAGUUGACAUAGCAACUAACUCAAAGGAAGAAUGGCAAAGAAUCUGAUUGCAUUGUUUAGUUACGCUUCAGCAAUAAAAUGAGUAUAGGGUUUGAUUCAAUAAUAGCUGUCAAGUGUGCAGGCUGUAAUUGUACUACUGCUCACAGGCAAGAGUUCUGAAGCCAGAUGACAAAAAAGAAACUUUUCACCAUGGUGGUCUCAGAUGAGAAAUGAAGCCUUGGCAAGAAAUCUGACUUCAUUGCGGUCCCAUCAAGCUAUGUCCAAAAACAAGACAGCAGUUUAGAGAUAAAUGCUAUUAAUUCUGAUGUAAAAUUCUUAGUCUUUUGGAAAAUCAAAACAGUACUUUCUGACUCUGCUACUUGAUAUCUCGGGAAACAACCUCAGGGCUGCAGGACGAUAGGUAAAACCUGGCAUAC
RNAcentral lists this long non-coding RNA (458 nucleotides) under Anser cygnoides (Swan goose). Its description in RNAcentral is "lncRNA (ENSACDG00005003264.1)". The record is from RNAcentral. Lineage: Eukaryota; Metazoa; Chordata; Aves; Anseriformes; Anatidae.